Mauremys reevesii (Reeves's turtle) is the source of this 278-nucleotide long non-coding RNA. RefSeq lists it as uncharacterized. The record is from RefSeq and is a predicted model, not a curated record. NCBI's taxonomy places the organism in Eukaryota, Metazoa, Chordata, Testudines, Geoemydidae. The transcript is spliced from 4 exons.
UGAAGGUGUUGCACCCGAAAGUAAAGGCACAGAGGCAGUGGCUUGUGGGAAAGAGGGCGGCAGAGUAACACCCACCUUUGGCUCCAGAUUGUCCCAGCGUCCCACGGGACAGGGAAGGGAACUGGCUGUAGUGGAGCCAGUCCAGCUGCUGGCAAUGGGAAGCCUGUUGGGAUUCCUACUGGGGAGCCGACCCUGGAGCCUGCUGGGGGCCCCAUCCCCCGUAUCAGCCUCUGGCUUGUAGGGAAGAGUGGGCUCUGCUGGACCCCCGUCAAAGAGCC